GAUGAACGCUGGCGGCGUGCCUAAUACAUGAAAGUCGAGCGAACAGACGAGGAGCUUGCUCCUCUGACGUUAGCGGCGGACGGGUGAGUAACACGUGGAUAACCUACCUAUAAGACUGGGAUAACUUCGGGAAACCGGAGCUAAUACCGGAUAAUAUAUUGAACCGCAUGGUUCAAUAGUGGAAGACGGUUUUGCUGUCACUUAUAGAUGGAUCCGCGCCGCAUUAGCUAGUUGGUAAGGUAACGGCUUACCAAGGCAACGAUGCGUAGCCGACCUGAGAGGGUGAUCGGCCACACUGGAACUGAGACACGGUCCAGACUCCUACGGGAGGCAGCAGUAGGGAAUCUUCCGCAAUGGGCGAAAGCCUGACGGAGCAACGCCGCGUGAGUGAUGAAGGUCUUCGGAUCGUAAAACUCUGUUAUUAGGGAAGAACAAAUGUGUAAGUAACUAUGCACGUCUUGACGGUACCUAAUCAGAAAGCCACGGCUAACUACGUG
This 497-nucleotide ribosomal RNA is filed under the name uncultured bacterium. Its description in RNAcentral is "partial 16S ribosomal RNA". It matches the Rfam family "Bacterial small subunit ribosomal RNA", at positions 28 to 507 of the family's 1533-position model. The record is from RNAcentral.